UUGUUACCUACAACUCCCUCA
This 21-nucleotide non-coding RNA is filed under the name Arabidopsis thaliana (thale cress). The record is from RNAcentral. Lineage: Eukaryota; Viridiplantae; Streptophyta; Magnoliopsida; Brassicales; Brassicaceae.